RNAcentral lists this ribosomal RNA (476 nucleotides) under uncultured bacterium. RNAcentral describes it as "bacterial SSU rRNA". It matches the Rfam family "Bacterial small subunit ribosomal RNA", at positions 775 to 1251 of the family's 1533-position model. The record is from RNAcentral.
AGUCAAUAGAUACCCCGGUAGUCCACGCCGUAAACGAUGAAUACUAGGUGUAGGGGUUGUCAUGACCUCUGUGCCGCCGCUAAACGCAUUAAGUAUUCCGCCUGGGGAGUACGGUCGCAAGAUUAAAACUCAAAGGAAUUGACGGGGGCCCGCACAAGCAGCGGAGCAUGUGGUUUAAUUCGAAGCAACGCGAAGAACCUUACCUAGACUUGACAUCUCCUGAAUUACUCUGUAAUGGAGGAAGCCCUUCGGGGCAGGAAGACAGGUGGUGCAUGGUUGUCGUCAGCUCGUGUCGUGAGAUGUUGGGUUAAGUCCCGCAACGAGCGCAACCCUUAUUGUUAGUUGCUACCAUUAAGUUGAGCACUCUAGCAAGACUGCCCGGGUUAACCGGGAGGAAGUGGGGAUGACGUCAAAUCAUCAUGCCCCUUAUGUCUAGGGCUACACACGUGCUACAAUGGCUGGUACAGAGAGAUGCU